Long non-coding RNA from Cucumis sativus (cucumber), 1152 nucleotides. RefSeq lists it as uncharacterized. Lineage: Eukaryota; Viridiplantae; Streptophyta; Magnoliopsida; Cucurbitales; Cucurbitaceae. The record is from RefSeq and is a predicted model, not a curated record. The transcript has 2 exons.
AUACAUGAAAGAGAAGUUUGAGAAAGAAAGAACUCAGAAUGAUUCUACAAACACCAAAUGGCAGUAAGAGCUUUUUUUAACAGGGGAACAAAAUGUGAAAGGCAAGCAAAAGGGAGGAAGAAGCCACCAAACAUUCAAACAAAACAGGAAAAGGAAAACUCUGAGUUUAUUGUUUUGCUGUUCUUGGGAAAUGCAACUACACACACACCAAACAGGGAUAAUCAAGUAAGGAUUGUGAGUUUUAAAAUGGAAGUAAAAACCAAAAUCAAAGCCAAAACCAGGCAAAUGCUGAGAAACCAGUUAAAAGAGAGAGAGAGAAUGAUGUUGUGGUGACAGGCUUUUUGUCUAGUCCAAUAAGUAUAAGGUAGAAAAAAGAGAAGAAGAAGGUGAAGGAGGGAAGAAGGGAAUUAUGAAAGAGAAUACUAAAAAUGAAUUUCUUUUUGGGUUUUGAAGAUGGGAAGCUAAGAAGUGGGUAUAAUGGAUGAUGUGGGUCAGAUCUGAAAUAGGAUUAUUUUAUUCUCUCUUUGGUUUGUUUUUCUUUUUUCACAGAGUUUGAUGUGAAGAAGAAAAGAAGGAAGAUAAUGGGGGCUGGUGGACCUCUCCCUCUACUUUGAGGGAAGAGCAUGUGGUGUCUGUCAGAAAAGUGGAACAAAAUUUAAGAAAGUGGGAUUUUUUAUUUUCAUUUUUCUUUUAUAAAACUACUUCCAAAACAAACCCCUUUCUUCAACUCUAAUCUCUCUCCCCCUAACAUCCAUUCCCAAACAAAUCUCCUCUCUUUUUAUAGAAUACCCACACAUAUAGAAUCAUCUGCUUCUUUCUUAUCAUCAAUAUAACUCUAUUCAUAUAAACUUAUAACAUCUUAUAUAUCUAUAAUAUGUCAUACCACUUGUAUUCUCUACAUUACCAUUUAACUAUUCUGACCUCUUUUUUCCUACUCUACUAUUAAGAAACUAUAAUUUCUCGAACCUGGCUUGUAUAAAAUACGAACAUACCCAAUUUUCAUUCCAUAUAUUAUCUCUCAUUGUAAGCCCCUAAAAAGGGAUUUAAAAAAAAAAUAAGUGUUGAAAUCUUGACAGGUAAGCAACUUUAUGGUGUACAAAACCAACCCAUGUUAUAUAUGUUAAACUUAAUAAAGCAAAAUCUUCUUCAUAA